This 301-nucleotide ribosomal RNA is filed under the name uncultured bacterium. RNAcentral describes it as "partial 16S ribosomal RNA". It matches the Rfam family "Bacterial small subunit ribosomal RNA", at positions 509 to 807 of the family's 1533-position model. The record is from RNAcentral.
CAGCCGCCGCGGUAAUACGUAGGGUGCAAGCGUUAUCCGGAAUUAUUGGGCGUAAAGAGCUCGUAGGCGGUUUGUCGCGUCUGCUGUGAAAACUGGAGGCUCAACCUCCAGCCUGCAGUGGGUACGGGCAGACUAGAGUGCGGUAGGGGAGAUUGGAAUUCCUGGUGUAGCGGUGGAAUGCGCAGAUAUCAGGAGGAACACCGAUGGCGAAGGCAGAUCUCUGGGCCGUAACUGACGCUGAGGAGCGAAAGCAUGGGGAGCGAACAGGAUUAGAUACCCCAGUAGUCCCUGUCUCUUAUAC